RNAcentral lists this ribosomal RNA (423 nucleotides) under Busseola sp. BUOUG5395. RNAcentral's name for it is "partial 16S large subunit ribosomal RNA". Lineage: Eukaryota; Metazoa; Arthropoda; Insecta; Lepidoptera; Noctuidae. The record is from RNAcentral.
UGUCUUUUUGAAGAUAAUUUAAAGUCUAAUCUGCCCACUGAUUUAAUAUUAAAGGGCUGCAGUAUAUUGACUGUACAAAGGUAGCAUAAUCAUUAGUCAUUUAAUUGAUGACUUGUAUGAAAGAUUGGAUGAGAUAUAAUCUGUCUCUUAAUUAUUUAUAAAAUUUAAUUUUUUAAUUAAAAAGUUAAAAUAAUUUAAAAAGACGAGAAGACCCUAUAGAGUUUUAUAUGUGAGUUUAUUAAGAUUAUUUAUAAAAAAAAAAAAUUAAAAUUAACUUAUAUAUUUUAUUGGGGUGAUAGAAAAAUAUACAAAACUUUUUUUAUAUAAAAACAUUUAUAAGUGAUUAAAUGAUCCAAUAAUAUUGAUUAAAAGAAAAAAUUACCUUAGGGAUAACAGCGUAAUUUUUUUUUUUAGUUCAUAUAA